ACUAAGCCAUGCGAGUCAUUGUAGCAAUACAAGGCAGACGGCUCAGUAACGCGUAGUCAAUCUACCCUAUGGACGGGAAUAACCUCGGGAAACUGAGAAUAAUGCCCGAUAGAACAUUAUGCCUGGAAUGGUUUAUGUUUCAAAUGAUUUAUCGCCAUAGGAUGGGACUGCGGCCUAUCAGUUUGUUGGUGAGGUAAUGGCCCACCAAGACUAUUACAGGUACGGGCUCUGAGAGGAGUAGCCCGGAGAUGGGUACUGAGACACGGACCCAGGCCCUAUGGGGCGCAGCAGGCGAGAAAACUUUGCAAUGUGCGAAAGCACGACAAGGUUAAUCCGAGUGGUUUCUGCUAAAGAAACCUUUUGUCAGUCCUAGAAACACUGAUGAAUAAGGGGUGGGCAAGUUCUGGUGUCAGCCGCCGCGGUAAAACCAGCACCUCAAGUGGUCAGGAUGAUUAUUGGGCCUAAAGCAUCCGUAGCUCGUUUUGUAAGUUUUCGGUUAAAUCCAUGCGCUUAACGUAUGGGCUGCCGGGAAUACUGCAUAACUAGGAAGUGGGAGAGGUAGACGGUACUCGGUAGGAAGGGGUAAAAUCCUUUGAUCUAUUGAUGACCACCUGUGGCGAAGGCGGUCUACCAGAACACGUUCGACGGUGAGGGAUGAAAGCUGGGGGAGCAAACCGGAUUAGAUACCCGGGUAGUCCCAGCUGUAAACUAUGCAAACUCAGUGAUGCAUUGGCUUGUGGCCAAUGCAGUGCUGCAGGGAAGCCGUUAAGUUUGCCACCUGGGAAGUACGUACGCAAGUAUGAAACUUAAAGGAAUUGGCGGGGGAGCACCACAAGGGGUGAAGCCUGCGGUUCAAUUGGAGUCAACGCCGGGAA
RNAcentral lists this ribosomal RNA (875 nucleotides) under uncultured archaeon. Its description in RNAcentral is "bacterial SSU rRNA". It matches the Rfam family "Archaeal small subunit ribosomal RNA", at positions 43 to 924 of the family's 1478-position model. The record is from RNAcentral.